RNAcentral lists this ribosomal RNA (468 nucleotides) under uncultured bacterium. Its description in RNAcentral is "partial 16S ribosomal RNA". It matches the Rfam family "Bacterial small subunit ribosomal RNA", at positions 28 to 507 of the family's 1533-position model. The record is from RNAcentral.
GACGAACGCUGGCGGCGUGCUUAACACAUGCAAGUCGAACGGAAAGGCCCUGCUUUUGUGGGGUGCUCGAGUGGAGAAGGGGUGAGUAACACGUGAGUAACCUGCCCUUGACUUUGGGAUAACUUCAGGAAACUGGGGCUAAUACCGGAUAGGCGCUCCUGCUGCGUGGUGGGGGUUGGAAAGUUUCGGCGGAUGGGGAUGGACUCGCGGCUUAUCAGCUUGUUGGUGGGGUAGUGUCUUACCAAGGCUUUGACGGGGAGCCGGCCUGAGAGGGUGACCGGCCACAGUGGGACUGAGAUGCGGCCCAGACUCCUACGGGAGGCAGCAGUGGGGAAUAUUGCACAAUGGGCGGAAGCCUGAUGCAGCAACGCCGCGUGCGUGAUGACGUCCUUCUGGUUGUAAACCGCUUGCGCCUGUGACGAAGCGUUAGUGACGGUAAUGGGUAAAGAAGCACCGGCUAACUACGUG